This 254-nucleotide unclassified non-coding RNA is filed under the name uncultured Parcubacteria group bacterium. Its description in RNAcentral is "contains 16S-23S intergenic spacer region". It matches the Rfam family "Bacterial small subunit ribosomal RNA", at positions 524 to 776 of the family's 1533-position model. The record is from RNAcentral.
UACAGAGGCCCCAAGCAUUAUCCGGACUCACUGGGCGUAAAGGGUGUGUAGGCGGCUGUGUUAGUCUCCUGUGAAAGGCUUUGGGCCCAACCCAGAGACCGCGGGGGAAACGGCAUAGCUUGAGGAUGCGAGAGGUAAAGGGAACUCAUGGUGUAGGGGUGAAAUCCGUUGAUAUCAUGGGGAACACCAAAUGCGAAGGCACUUUACUGGCGCACUCCUGACGCUGAGACACGAAAGCGUGGGUAGCGAACGGG